This 52-nucleotide non-coding RNA is filed under the name Trichobilharzia regenti. Lineage: Eukaryota; Metazoa; Platyhelminthes; Trematoda; Strigeidida; Schistosomatidae. The record is from RNAcentral.
UCCCAGUUGACGAGUCCCAAAUAGGACGAAAUGCGCGUUAUCCUGGCUGGAU